Molecule: long non-coding RNA, 22455 nt
Filed under: Nicotiana tabacum (common tobacco)
Lineage: Eukaryota; Viridiplantae; Streptophyta; Magnoliopsida; Solanales; Solanaceae
Description: long non-coding RNA (NTAB_LNC016435)
Source: RNAcentral
UUCAAUUUAAAUAGUAAAGAAUGGGGAUUUACAGAGUAAGCAAUAAUACUUUUAACAAAUUUAAUACAAAACAACCCAUAAUCAUCCCAAAACCUGGUGUCACAAGUGCAUGAGCAUUUACGAGGAAUAUAAAAUAAAAUUCAGCAGCUGUCCGGAAUACAAAUUGGACAUGAAAAAUGUAAAUACUCUGAAGGAGGUGGUUGUGGAUCGACGAAUGGAAUACAGCUCACCUAGGUCCCCACAUGUAUACACGCCUCUACUCUCACAUGGCCUCUAGACAUAUAUGUACCUGCACAAAAAUGUGCAGCAAGUGUAGUAUGAGUACGUAAGUAACGUGUAUCCAGUAAGUAUCUAGCCUAACCCUGGAGGAGUAGUAACGAGGGGUCGACAUCGACUCUCACUAGUAGUCCAACAACAUCAGGUACAGUAAAAAGGUAAAUAAGUAUGAGGCAGAGUAAAUAAAUAAAAUAAACAAGUAUAAAACACGUGAUACAAAUCCCCCUUCUUUACAAGGAACUCAAGCUCUUCAUUAGAAAUUUUCUCCUUAAUCAGAGCAUAUAUAUAUAUAUAUAGUGGAUCUCAUCAAGUAGCUUACCAUAAUUCAAAUCCGGGAAUUCCCUGAUACACUGGCUUCUUGCCAAGUCUUACGCACGAUUUCAUAGAGAUAUGAUAUAGGAAAUGCCGAGGCGUACGGCCCAAUCCAACAUAAUAAUAAAACUCUACACUGCCGAGGGUCGAACGGCCCGAACCAUAUGAUAAAUCAAUUAACCUUCCGAGGCGAACGACCCGCUCCCAUGAGAGUGUGGUACAUAAAUCCUGUAGAGGCGAACGACCCAAUCCCAUAAGAAGUGUAAUACAAAUUUCUGCCGAGGCGAACGGCCUGAUCCCAUAAGAAUAAGAGACUUUGAUGGGUCCUUGACCCCACUCAAGAAUAAACGUGUGAGUUGUAAUUUCUUUAACAAAACACUUUCAAUGAAGUAUAUAUAUCACAGAAACAUGCCGUAAGAGGAGUAGAAUUAUUCGGUGACUAAUCAUGAACUCGUGAAGUCUCUACAAUAACAAGUCUAGUCUCAAGUAGUAAUGUAAAACAGAGGAAUUUAAUAGGUGAGAGACUACUCAAAUAAUAUAGCUAUAGAAUGAUGUGAACCUAAGCCUACCCGAACAAUAACAUGAAUUUAGCUACGUAUGGGCUCUCGUCACCUCACGCGUACGUAGCCCCCACAACAAGUAACACACAUCAAUAUACAACACCUAGGGGUAAUUUCCCCCUCACAGAGUUAGACAUGAGACUUACCUCGCUCCGAAAUUCCAUAACCGGCUCCAAAGCCCUCUAACACCUCAAACCGGUGACCGCCGAUCCAAAACUAGUCAAAUACGAUGCAACCCAAUCAAAAUAUAUUCUAAUACUCGUAAUUAAUCAAUUUAUAAUAAUUUUCAACUCCGCUCGAAAGAUCGAUAAAGAAACCCUCGGGCCCACGUGCCAGGAUUCCGAAAAUUUUCAAAGAUAACUAUUAUCCAUAACCUCACGAACUCAAAUAUAUAAUUUAUUUCCAAUUCCAUGUCCAAAUUCGUGGUCAAAAUCCAAAAAAAAAAAAAUUCUAGGUUUUCUCUCAAAAUCCCAUAAUUUCUACCAAUUUCCAUGCUUGAAUCCAUAUAAAAUCAUGUAUUUAACUCAAAAUAGGUGGGAUUACUUACCUCAUAAUAAAAGAUGAAAUCUCCUCUUCAAAAGCUCCAAAAAUCGCCUAACCAAAAUGAAAUAUGAAGCAAAUUGGGACAAAUCCCGUCUUUAAAUGGAUACUGCCCAGCACCUCUCGCAUCUGCUGUCAAAUAACCACUUCAGCGGCUCCGCACCUGCGGAAAUUCCAUCGUAGGUGAGGCUCUAGCUCGGCCCAACAAUCCCGCUUCUGUGCUCCAUGUAGCACAUCUGAGCGUUUGCUUCUGCGGUCCAUGUGUCGUACCUGAGCCCAUCACCCGCUCCUGCAUUGCCCACUUCGCACAUGUGCCUUCGCAGGUGCGCCCAAAUGUUCCGCACCUGCGGCUGCUUACCAACCUCCUCUCCUUCGCACCUGCGACUCGUGGCUCGCACUUGCGUCCCUUUUCACGCAGGUGCGAUUGCACUAGAUAUCAACUGCCUCAGCAUUUCAUCCAAGUGUAAACUCGAUCCGUUAACCAUCCAGAAUCCACCUGAGGCCCUCGGGACUUCAACCAAAUAUGCCAACACGUACCAAAACACAUCCCGAACUUAAUUGAGCCUUUAAAUCACAUAAAACAAUGCUAAAAACACGAAUCACCCUCCAAUUCAAACUUAGUAAACUUUGAAACUUCAACUUCUACAAUCGAUACCGAAAUCUAUCAAAUCACUUCCGAUUGACCUCAAAUUUUUCACACAAGUCACAUUUGAUAUUACGGACCUACUCCAACUUUCAGAAUCGGAAUCCGACCCUAAUAUCAAAAAAUCCACUCCCGGUCAAACUUCUUAAAAUUAUCCAAAUUUCCAACUUUCUCCCAAAUGGCCCCAAAAUGACCUACGGACCUCCAAAUUCACUUCCGGAUGCACUCCUAAGACCAGAAUCAUCAUACAAAGCUAUUCCUAGAGUCAAAAUCCUAAACGGACGUCGAUAUCAUUGAAAUGCACUCCAACUCAAAUUUAUGAAAUCCUUCCAAAAUGUCAACUUCCACAAUAGGCGUCAAAAUGUUCCCGGGUCAUCCAAAACCCGAUCCGGACAUACGCCCAAGUUCAAAAUCAUCAUACGAACUUGUUGGAACCUUCAAAUCUCGAUUCCGAGGUCGUCUACUCACAAAUCACACUUUAGUCAAUUCCUCCAACUUAAGGCUUCCGAAAUUAGAAUUUUCUUUCCAAAUCAACUCCGAACUUCUCAAAAUUAAAUUUCGACCACGCGUAUAAGUCAUAAUACCUGAAGUGAAGCUGCUCAGGGCCUCAAACCGCUGAACGACGUACUUGAUCUCAAAAUGACCAGUCGGGUCGUUACAUUCUCUCCCACUUAAACAUACGUUCGUCCUCGAACGUGCUAAGAAAUGUCCCAGAGCUGACCAUGAUCAAUGUUUAACACCUCAUGCACCUACCCGUGCUACCACAACCCAGUUGAGCACAUUAGUUCUAGCGAACCUGAAUAUCCUUCCUUUUAUCUGGUGAAAUAACCUUAGAACCAAAUUCCAACAUCUGAAAUUCCCUUCCAGGUCUGUUUCCAGCAUUCGAACACCGUACCCAUCACCACACGAUGUACCAAUACAUGAUUGUAUACCUGUUCUGAAUCUACACCAUGCACUACGUAAUUCACCUGACCAUAAUAACACCGUCUGACGAUAAUAGCCACAAUUCCACGAAUCUGAUGCCCACAACACACCCCAUGACACAUGUAAGUCCAGUUCCAACUCUUGCAAUACUGUUACGACGGAAGGGGUGUGUAGAAAUUCAUAACCAACUGCCGAGUUAACAAAUUCUUGAGUCUCUCCUCCUGAUAAGAACCAUUACCUCAUUAUGAACCAAAUAACGAUAUUUGCUCUCAAAUAUGCCGCAUAUAAAUCCGAUCGCACUGAUACCAUGUCCAAUAAUCUCGUCUUACCUAGUACAAACUGCUUAGACAAUAAGCCACCUCGGACACUUCCAAAAGUCUCAUAUAAUUCCACAAUGUGCCAACAAGCUACAAACUCGAAUGUGAUACAUAAGGGAGUGAACUCUGGAAAACACUACUCGACCCACAUAACUAAUUUAAACAACCGAAAAGAUAUUAUAAGCCUUCCUCGGAAAACGAGAAGUAAAACACACAAUAAUAGAUAUGGGAAAUUGUACUCAAUAUCACACUGUUGCGGCAUGCAACCCUAUCCAACCAUGAUACCCGUGGCGGCGUGCCACCCAAUCCAAAUAACACAUCCGUGGAGGCGUGCCACCCGAUCCAACCAUAUACCUGUGGCGGCAUGCCACCCAAUCCACAGAUAAUAAUAUAAAGAAAACACGCAUCGAGCCGUAACGCUUAUAAUCAUGAAAUGACCGAAUAUCAACCGUAAGCACGCCAAGUGCAUAAUACAAAUCUUGGGGAGACGGGUAGCGUCAUACACUAUAAAACUCAAGCACAACUAAGGUGCGAUUUAUGAUCUGCAUCACGAGAGCCAUCCUGCUCACAUCUUACCACAAACUAUGCGGGAUCUCAAUACGAGUGCGAAUAAUCAAACCGUCUCAUAACCCACAUGGCAUAAUAGAGUAUUACAUAAAAUAGAUGACGACAGAAAUAACAUCCAAGGCCCGAAGACCCCUCCGAAAACAACGUUAUGCUGAAAUGAAUACUUCCGGCCUGAUAUAGAGCCCACAUUCACACUUAGAUCGAUCCACGAACCUCAAGCCAAUUCUGAUCGUACCGCACUAGGCUAAUAACCUUUUAAGGAUGCACAAUAACCCUUUUUACCAUUACACACAAGAACAACCGUCAAUCCAGAAUGAACUUCCACAGUCCACAACCGAAUGAACCGAGCGCCCUACAGGCAUAAAUUCUCACAUUAGCGAUAGUACCACAAUAUCCAUACUUGGUUUUAAAUCUUUAAUUAAUCCAGUGACUACAUGUCACACUUAUACAAUCUUCCCAUGGGAUAAAUUCCCACCACCUUCCGCACCAGGUAACAAGUCUGCACAUCCAUACCACCGGUCAUACUAAGGCUGUAAAGCAAAUCAGGAAUCCGCAAAUCAAAACACAAAGCCCCUUUCACAGGACACCGAUCUUAGGUGAUGCUAAAGGCGAUACCAGCUCACUCUAAACAUCUGAAUUCUUCCCUGCUCAUACGAGCUCUUGACAUUCUCAUCAACAUUGAACCGCAACCUUGAUCCUCAACUUCCAAUUCCCAUGCUACCCACUACACUUAAUCAUGCCAAUACGUAAGAGUACAAGAAUUUCAUGAUAACUCCUGAACCACUAAUAGGGUACACCAAUACUGAUAAUUCCCCUAUGAAUCCGAAGUUAUUUUUUCCUAUUCCUCCAAUGCUACAUCAUAGACUAAAGACAACAUAAAAAACUACAAGCCCCUUUUCAUAAUCUGCUGCAAAAGCUCGAUACUCAGCCAUACUACGGACUCGAAAUCUUUAGGUACCACACUUUAACUUUUGAAUCCACUAGGAUCGUUGUUGAGAGUCACCCACUCUGACUCGGUCCCAAAUAUAAUCAACUCCAAGGUCCUACUAGCACAGGUACACCCUCUCAAAGAAGCAACCGACUAAAUUCCUUUUCAUUGUACAUCACAUCCCCACGAAGCAUAAACUCCGAGUCUUCCCAAAACUUGAACAUGAAUCGAUAAAGCCAAUUACAACAUACAUUCCUCAAAUCCUUUGCUCAAAUUACCACUGAUGUUCUCUUUCCUUAGUCAUUAUAACCCGCCAAUACACCGAUAAUCAGAAAUCGCACAAGUUGACAAUUACGCAAUACAAUCAUAGAAGGUGGGGCUCUCCCACUUAGCUUGAAGCAACCAUUGCAUUACUAUGGAACCCACCAAGAUUCCUUAUCCCCUAUUGACAUGAUCUUUCACAACCAACCCGCCAAAUUCCUCAAAAUCCUUAUGUUAAACAUUUCAUGAACAUUCUGAAUCACUAGACACCUUCACAUAUUCGACCAAGAUGUGUGGCUAUCCUACCACAGAACCCAAAUGCUAUUCUGCCACUCUCCCAUUUUUGUCAAACCCUUUCCUUUAAGCAACUACUCGACUUCUGUUUUCUAACACUUGGCCUUCUUGAAGUUUAAUCACCGCAGGACACCUUCCACGUGUCCUUCCUCAUCCUUCGCUGCCCAGUUGUUGCCCCAAUUCCAAAUCCAGCUCUGUAACACUUGAACCAAUUGAUCGCUACCACUCUAAACCUCUCUGAAGAUCAUCCUUCUUGAGCCAUCAACAUUAGGAUUACCGAUUCGAUUCUGAACCAUAACACACUGCAACAUCUGACAGCCGCUUCCCCGGCACCAUUCACAAUACUCUGCCCCAAAGGCCAUUUGAAGAAGGCCAUAACACCAGCGAACUUAACACAUUUAAUCAAGGACGACGACACCACAUCUCGGAUGAACUAAAAAAUACCAAGUCUCUUUACUCCAUCAAUCCAACCUAAACAUUCUUAGUCCGAUUGCCUUUCCCUCCACUGGAAAUAAAGCACCGAACCUCUGAAUUACGCAUUGAGAAAAACCUCCUUUCAAUUCAUUCAUUGCCCCUAUGCGUAGAAAGUAUCCUACCAUUACUUUAAUACUGUGAGAUAACAACUCGUGAAAAUCAUAGAAAUAGGUGUAUAGCCCCAAAACUAUCAGAAAUACAGCUACUGAGCUGAGAUGACAGAAUAUCCUUACACAAGGCAACGACAUCAGCCCAAUCGAAUAUGUAGGGAGAAACAUCCUGCUCUACAUCAGUAGUUCCAUUAAAAUUCCUCGAUUUCAAAUUUAUAACAAACGUUUCACGUCACAUAAGAUUGAAUGGGAAGGAAAUAAAGGCAUAAGCCUCAAAGGAAUCAAAUCGUACAAUGAGGAAUCAAGAAGGGAAGUGCUCUUAAUAGUCCUGUAGCCUCUCGAAGAUAAGUACAGACAUCUCCGUACCGAUUCGCAAGACUCUACUGGACUCGCUCAUGACUCGUGAGACCUAAGUAAACCUAGUGCUCUUAUACCAUGUUGUCACGACCCAAAAUCCAUAAAGGCCGUGAUGGCGCCGGGCACCACUAUCAGGCAAGCCAACAAUAAAUACUUAAUUGGGUUCUAAUUUUUGUUACUUUUGAAAUAAUAUUUUCCUUUAAUUUAAAUAGUAAAGAAUAUGGAUAUACAGAGUAAAUAAUAAUACUUUUAACAAAUUCAAUAUAGAACAACCCAUAAUCAUCCCAAAACCCGGUUUCACAAGUGCAUGAGCAUUUACUAGGAAUAAAAAAUAAAAUACAGCAGCUGUCCGGAAUACAAUUUAGACAGGAAAAAUGCAAAUUCUCUGAAGGAGACUCUGCUGGCUGCGGAUCGACGAAUGGAAUGAAGCUCACCUAGGUCCCCGUAUGUAUAUAUGCCUCUUCUCUCAUAUCACCUAUAAGUGUAGUAUGCGUAUGUAAGCAAAGUGUACCUAGUAAGAAUCUAGCCUAACCCCGGAGGAGUAGUAACGAGGGGUCGACAUCGACUCUCACUAGUAGUCCAACAACAUCAAGUACAAUAAAGAGGUAAGUAAGUAUGAGGCAGAGUAAAUAAAUAAAAUAAACAAGUAUAAAACACGUGAUACAAAUCCCCCUCUUUACGAGGAACUCAAGCUCUUCAUUAGAAAUUUCCUCCUUAAUCGGAGCAUAUAUAUAUAGAUACAGUGAAUCUCAUAAAGUAGCUUACCAUAAUUCAAAUCCGGGAAUUCCCCGAUACACUGGCUUCUUGCCAAGUCUUACGCACGAUUUCAUGGAGAUAUGAUACAGGAAAUGCCGAGGCGUACGACCCGAUCCAACAUAAUAAUAAAACUCUGCAUUGUGGAGGGUCGAACAGACCGAACCAUAUGAUAAAUCAAUUAACCUUACGAGGCGAACGACCCGCUCCCAUAAGAGUAUGGUACAUAAAUCCUACCGAGGCGAAUGACCCGAUCCCAUAAGAAGUGAAAUACAAAUUCCUGCCAAGGUGAAUGGCCCGAUUCCAUAAGAAUAAGAGACUUUGAUUGUUCCUUGACCCCACUCAUGAAUAAACGUGUGAGUUGUAAUUUCUUUAACAAAAAACUUUCAAUGAAGUAUAUAUAUCACAGAAACAUGCAGUAAGAGGAGUAGAAUUAUUCGGUGACUAAUCAUGAACUCGUGAAGUCUCUACAAUAACAAGUCUAGUCUCAAGUAGUAAUGUAAAACAGAGGAAUUUCAUGGGCGAGAGAUUACUCAAAUAAUACAUCUAUAGCAUCAUGUGAACCUAAGACUACCCGGACAAUAACAUGAAUGUAGUUACGUACGGGCUCUUGUCACCUCUAGUGUACAUAGCCCCCACAACAAGUAGCACAUAUCAAUAUACAACACCUAGGGGUAAUUUCCCCCUCACAGAGUUAGACAUGAGACUUACCUCGCUCCGAAAUUCCAUACCGGCUCCAAAGCACUCUAACACCUCAAACCGGUGACCGCCGAUCCAAAACUAGUCAAAUACGAUGCAACCCAAUCAAAAUAUACUCUAAUACUCGUAAUUAAUUAAUUUAUAACAAUUUCUAACUCCGCUCGAAAGAUCGAUAAAGCAACCCUCGGGCUCACGUGCCCGGAUUCCGAAAAUCUUCGAAGAUAACUAUUAUCCAUUACCUCACGAACUCAAAUAUAUAACUUAUUUACAAUUCCAUGUCCAAAUUCGUGUUCAAAAUCCAAAAAAAAAAAAACCAAUUUCUAGGUUUUCUCUCAAAAUCCCACAAUUUCUACCAAUUUCCAUGCUUGAAUCCAUAUAAAACCAUGUAUUUUACUUAAAAUAGGUGGGAAUUACUUACCUCAUAAUAAAAGAUGAAAUCUCCUCUUCAAAAGCUCCAAAAAUCGCCCAACCAAAAUGAAAUAUGAAGGAAAUUGGGACAAAUCCCGUCUUUAAAAGGACACUGCCGAGCACCUCUCGCAUCUGCUGUCAAAUAACCGCUUCUGCGGCUCCGCACCUGUGGAAAUUCCAUCGUAGGUGCGGCUCCAGCUUGGCCCAUAACCUCACGAACUCAAAUAUAUAAUCUAUUUCCAAUUACAUGUCCAAAUUCGUGGUCAAAAUCUAAAAAUAUUAAUUUUUAGGUUUUCUAUCAAAAUCCCACAAUUUCUACUAAUUUUCAUGCUUGAAUCCAUAUAAAACCAUGUAUUUAACUCAAAAUAGGUGGGAAUUACUUACCUCAUAAUAGAUGAUGAAAUCUCCUCUUCAAAAUCUCCAAUAAUCGCCCAAUCAAAAUGACAUAUGAAGGAAAUUAGGCCAAAUCCCGUCUUUAAAAGGACACUGCCCAGCACCUCUCGCAUCUGCGGUCAAAUAGCCAUGUAAUGACCCGGCCGGUCGUUUCGAGAGUUUUAGCCCAGUUUUUACCAUUUCUACUUCUUUUUGUGUUAUUCAGCUAUAUUAUAUUAUAUCAGGUUAGUUGGUUCGGGUCCGGAAGGAACUCGGAGUGAAAUGAGACACUUAGUCUCAUAAUUAAAAAUUUUAAGUUAGAAAAGUGGACCGGAUAUGGACCUAUGUGUAAACGAACUUGGAUUUGAAUUUUGAUGAUUUCAAUAGCUCUAUAUAUUGAUUUUGGGCUUAGGAGCAUGUCCGGAAUAUUAUUUGGAAGUCCGUAGAGGAAUUAGGCUAGAAAUGCCGAAAGUUUAAUUUUUUGAGAAGUUUGACUGGGGAGUUGACUUUUUGAUAUCGGGGUCGGAAUCUAAUUCUAAAAAUUGGAAUACCUAUGUUAUGUCAUUUAUGACUUGUGUGCAAAAUUUGAGGUCAAUCACACGUGAUUUGAUAGGUUCCGAAGUCGUUUGUAGAAAUUAGAAAUUUCAAAGUUCAUUAGGCUUGAAUUGGGGUGUAAUUCAUGGUUUUAGCGUUGUUUGAAGUGAUUUGAGGGUUCGAAUAAGUCCGUAUGAUAUUUUAGUACUUUUUGGUAUAUUUGGUGGAAGUCCCGAGGGGCUCGGGUGAGUUUCGGAUGGUCAACGGGUUGGAUUUUGGACUUGAAACUCUGCUGGAAUUUUUCUGAUGCACCAUCUGGUUUCCUUCAUCGCGUUCGCGAGUGGAGCCUUGUGUUCGUAAAGAGGAACUGAGAGGCUGGCAAUAUUUGCUCUUCGCGUUCGCGAAGAGAAGCACGCAUCCGCGAAGGGUGGACUGGGCGUGCAUCGCAAACGCGAGAGGUGUUACGCGUUCGCGAAGAUGAGAGGAAGCAGCCGAAGACCCCAAGCAAUUGGUCUACGCGUUCGUGAAGGGGGGGUGUUGCGUUCGCGUAGUGAGGAGGAACGAAGCAUCGCAUUCACGAUGGGUUGAAUGCGUUCACGUAGAAGGCAUUGAGGCAGAGCCAUUUUGUGCUUUGCGAACGCGGGGGUGAUAUCGCGUUCGCGAAGGAGGAAUUUGGAUGGGAGCUAUUUUGUGCUUCGCGAACCCGAGGCACUGACCGCGUUCACGAAGAAGAAAAGCAUGGGCAGUGAGUUUAACCCAUUUUCAGUUUUUGAUGAUUUGGAGCUCAGAUUUGAGGCGAUUUUGGGUGAUUUUCAGAGGAAACAAUGGGGUAAGUGUUCUUAACCCAUUAUUGGUUAAAUUGCCCGAAUCCAUGGUUGUUUUUAUCAUUUAAUUGGUGAAUUGAGUCAGGAAAAUUUGAAAACCCUCUUGGUUUAAAUUGAAGAUUUGAGGGAUGAGUUGGGGUCGGAUUUUGGUAAAAUUGAUAUGGUUAGACUCGUAGUUGAAUGGGUUUUCAGAUAUUGUAACUUUUGUCGAGUUCUCAGAUUUUGAGCUAAUUUUUGGAUAUUUUAUGGAAAAUUAUUAUUAUCUUAUGAAAUUAAUUCCAAUGAAUUUUAUUGACGGAAACAAAUUAUCUAUGACCAGAUUCGAGGCGUUUGGAGACCAAUUCAUGAGGAAAGGACAUUGCAGAAUAAGAAUUUCGCGGCAUGAGGUAAGUAACGAUUGUAAAUCUAGUCCCGAGGGUAUGAAACCCCGAAUUUCAUAUCAUUUUACUACUUUGAGGUGAUGCACAUGCUAGGUGACGGGCGUGUACUGUUGGGGAUUUUUGACUUGGUCCGUUCCGUAGCAACUGUAAAGUUGCAUACUUCAUUGAAACUAUAUGAUACUUAUAUGUUUUAGAAAGAGUUUCUGUAAAUUGGGCUGAAUGCCAUGUUUGGGCCUUGCGCCAGUGCUGUUUGGACCCUUAGGGGCUUUUUAUUACUAUCCUCUCAUUGUUUUCGAUUGAAAAUCUAUACUCAAUCAUGUUUAUACUUGUUUACCGCAUAACUCAGNNNNNNNNNNNNNNNNNNNNNNNUUUUGGGCUGAAUGCCUUGCUUUACUGAAAUGCCCAAGUGGCUUGAGAGGUUUAUGACUAAGUGAGGCCGAGGGCCUGAUUUGUGAGGAUAUUUAUGGGAUCGGGUUGCACGCCGCAGCAUGUUGAUAUCGGCCGAUGGCCUGAUUGUGAGGAUGAGUGUGGAUCGUGGCUGCCCGCCUGCAUCAUACUUUAUUAUUAUAGCAUGUGAGUUAUCCAUGUAGAUUAUAGCGCUUGGGAUGAAGGAGCCCCUCCGGAGUCUGUACUCACCCCCAGUGAGCGCAGGUACCUACUGAGUGCAAGUACCGAGUGCUGAUUGACUGGGAGGAAAGAGUGAUUGUGAGGUAUGCCCGAGUCGCAAGAGUGAUUGUGAGGUAUGCCCGAGUGGCACGAGUAAUUGUGAGGUUUGCCCGAGGGGCUGUAUAUGAGUGAUGUUUUGCCCGAGGGGCCGUUUAUGAGUGAUGUUUUGCCCGAGGGGCUGUUUAUGAUUUCAUUAUUUUUGCUCACCUUUGCAUUGAGUCUUUGUUUGAAAACCUGUUGGAAGAAUAUCUUUAAAUGAUUUUUAUUGGAACCGGGUUUAAACGAGAUUAUUUGAUUCAAACACUGAUUUUUAAAGCAUGUUAUACUUUACUGAGAUUUCAUGAUAUGAACGUUAUAUGCUUUAUUGCUCGUCACUACUACUCAGUCUUUAUUUAUUGUUGUUACUUACUAAGUUGGCGUACUCACGUUACUCCUUGCACCUUGUGUGCAGAUUCAAGUGUAGCUGGACACGGUAGCAGUUAUUGAGUGUUUUGAUUGCAGAUUUUCUUGGAGAUAACAAGGUAGCUGUUUGGUGAUCGCAGACCCUGCUCUUCUCCCUCUUAUCUUUCUCUAGUUGUAUUUAGCUAUUUUUCAGGCUGAGUUAACCUUGAUAUUGUUAGACAGAUUAUAGUAGAUGCUCAUGACUAGUAAUACCCCGAUGUAGGGAUUUUCCUUCCGUACUUUUAUUUUGAUUUGAACUCCUUUACGAAAGUUUUUAUGAUAAAUAACAUUGAAAUUAUCUUUGAAAUGAAAUNNNNNNNNNNNNNNNNNNNNNNNNNNNNNNNNNNNNNNNNNNNNNNNNNNNNNNNNNNNNNNNNNNNNNNNNNNNNNNNNNNNNNNNNNNNNNNNNNNNNNNNNNNNNNNNNNNNNNNNNNNNNNNNNNNNNNNNNNNNNNNNNNNNNNNNNNNNNNNNNNNNNNNNNNNNNNNNNNNNNNNNNNNNNNNNNNNNNNNNNNNNNNNNNNNNNNNNNNNNNNNNNNNNNNNNNNNNNNNNNNNNNNNNNNNNNNNNNNNNNNNNNNNNNNNNNNNNNNNNNNNNNNNNNNNNNNNNNNNNNNNNNNNNNNNNNNNNNNNNNNNNNNNNNNNNNNNNNNNNNNNNNNNNNNNNNNNNNNNNNNNNNNNNNNNNNNNNNNNNNNNNNNNNNNNNNNNNNNNNNNNNNNNNNNNNNNNNNNNNNNNNNNNNNNNNNNNNNNNNNNNNGUCGUGGCAAGCCGCUUCUAUGGCUCCGUACCUACGAAAAUUCCAUCGCAGGUGCGGCUCUAGUUCGGCCCAAUAGUCCUGCAUCUGCGCUCCAUGUAGCGCAUCUGCGCGUCCACUUCUGUGGUCCAUGCGCCGCACCUACGCCUAUCGCCUGCUCCUGCGUUGCCCACCUCGCACCUGUGCCUUCGCAGGUGCGCCCAAAUAUUCCGCACCUGCGGUUGCUGACCAGCCUCCUCUCCUUCGCACCUGCGACUCGAAGCUCGCACCUGCGGCCCCUUUCACGCAGGUGCGAUUCCACCAGAUAUCAGCUGCCUCAGCAUUUCAUCCUAGUCCAAACUCGAUCCGUUAACCAUCCGGAAUCCACCUGAGUCCCUCGGGACCUCAACCAAAUAUACCAACACGUCAUAAAACACAUCACAAAGUUAGUCGAGCCUUUAAAUCACAUCAAACAACGCUAAAAACAUGAAUCACCCUCCAAUUCAGACUUAGUGAACUUUGAAACUUCAACUUCUACAAUCGAUGCCGAAAUCUAUCAAAUCACGUCUGAUUGACCUCAAAUUGUGCAUACAAGUCAUAUUUGACAUUACGGACCUAUCCAAAUUCUGGAAUCGGAAUCCGACCCUGAUAUCAAAAAGUCCACUCCCGGUCAAAUUUCUUAAAAUUAUCCAAAUUUCCAACUUUCGUCGUAAUGGCCCCAAAAUGACCUAUGGAUCUCCAAAUCCACUUUCAGACGUGCUUCUAAGAACGGAAUCAUCAUACGGAGCUAUUCCUAGACUUAAAAUCCUAAACGGACAUCGAUAUCAUUGAAAUUCACUCCAACCCAAAUUUAUGAAAUCCUUCCAAAAUGCCAACUACCACAAUAGGGGAUGAAACAUUCCCGAGUCAUUCAAAACCCGAUACGGACAUACGCCCAAGUCCAAAACUAUCAUACGAACCUGUUGGAACCUUCAAAUCCCGAUUUCGAGGUCGUCUAUGCACAAAUCAUACUUUAGUCAAUUCCUCCAACUUAAGGCUUCCGAAAUUAGAAUUUGCUUUCCAAAUCAACUCCGAACUUCUGGAAAUUAAAUUCCGACUACGCGUACAAGUCAUAAUACCUGAAGUGAAGCUGCUCAAAUUCUCAAACCGCUGAACGAUACUCUAGAGCUCAACACGACCGGUUGGAGCGUUACACUUAGUGUCUAAACUUACAAAAGAAUUGAGAUGUUUGGCAGCAUUUUACCCUGACUUCUGUGUCUUUCAGGAACUCUUAAGUGGGAAGGUAUUGAGGAUAGGUAAGGAAGAGUUAGGCAUGUACAUUCUCAAGGAAGAUGAGAUAAAAGUAUUCUGUCAACAAGGCCCUCCUCGACCAAUGUCUCAUUCUACUUCAAUUGCAAAUACCAUUUCAGGUGACAUCAAUAAAUGUAGUAACCUAGUAGGUAAUAAGUCUUGUGCUAUAUCCUCCUUAUGGCAUGAAAGGUUAGUUCAUCCUCCUUUAAAGGUCUUGAGAUCUGUAGAUGCUUUGCAUAGUAUGCAGUUAAGGCAACAUCAUUGUACUGUGUGUCCUACAGCCAUGCAAUCAAGACUACAUUUCCUUGUUAGCUCUUUUUGCUCUAAAUCUAUAUUUGACAUUAUGCAUGGUGAUGUUUGGGGACCUUAUAGAGAGCCUACUCAUGAUGGCAAGGGAUAUUUUUUUAACUUUGGUAUAUGACUAUUCCAGAUAUACUUGGCUAUUUCUACUGUAUUCUAAGUCAGAUACUAUUGAAGUGUUGAAAAACUUUGUAGCAAUGGUCUCCACACAGUUUGACAGCAGACUCAAAUGCUUAAGAACAGACAAUAGAACUGAGUUUCUUAACGACCAAAUGCAGACCUUAUUCAAGAAUCAAGGUAUUGUACAUUAGAGCUCUUGUACAUAUACCCCUCAACAUAAUGGGGUUGUUGAGAGAAAACAUAUGUCUAUUCUAGACAUAGCUAGAGCACUCAAAUUUCAAGAUUUUUUACCUCUAAGAUUCUGGGGAGAAUGUGUAUCUACUGUAGUAUAUUUUCUGAAUCGAUUGCCUAUUGUUCUAUUACAAGGAAAAUCUCCCUUUGAGAAGAUCUUCCAAAGGAGUCCAUCUCUACAACAUCUUAGGGUAUUUGGAAAUCUUUGUUAUGCCACUAAUGUGAGGAAAAAAGAUACAUUUUAUCCCAGAGCAAUCCCAGCUGAUCACAUGGGCUAUUCAUCCUCUCAGAAGGGCUAUGUCCUCUAUGACAUAUGCUCCAAAGGAUUCUUUGUCAGCAGGGAGGGACACUGUAUUCAAGGAGUAAGUGUUCCCAUUCAAGCAUAUGUCCUCUGGUGUAUCUCCCUUAUUUCCUAUCUUGGAGUUUCUAAAACAACUUGCCCAGCCAGUUGUUUCUCCUGGUGGUGCUUCCUUACCUCUAGUACCUCUAAGCCUAAACAAUGCUGAUAAUGUUGCUACUCCCUUUCCUACCACCUCAGUUCCUCUCACUCGUGGUCAGUCUCAUAUGUCUACACCCGUCUCUCCUCAUGUAUCAUUCUGUAGCAUUCAAGUUUUCUAGGCUUACCAAACCACAUGUGUGGUUAGCAGACUAUGUUGUUCCACCAAAGAAGUCAGCUUGACCUUAUCCAAUGUCCAACUAUGUGACAUAUGAUUACUUGUCCCCUGCCUACAGGACUUCUCUUGCUUUAUUCUCAGCCAUUGUGGAAACCAGAUUUUUCUCAAAAGCCAGUAGGGAUCCUAAGUAGGUUGAGGCUAUGCAAGCUGAGAUCAGUGCUCUUGAAGAGAACAACACUUGGUCCAUUGUCCCUCUUUCUCUUGGGAGGGUCCCUAUAGGCUGCAAGUGGGUGUUUAAGGUCAAAUACAAGUCCUUUGGUGAGGUGGAAAGAUACAAGGCCAGGUUGGUGGAUAAAAGUUACAGCCAACAUGAAGGUUUAGAUUAUACACUUUCUCUUUAGUAGCUAAAAUGGUCAGUGUGAGAGCUGUAGUUGCCUUGGAUUGUGCUUCUGGUUGGUAUGUGUUUCAGAUAGAUGUUCAUAAUUCUUUUCUUCAAGGAGAACUUCUAGAAGAAAUGUACAUGCAUGUUCGUGAUAGAUUUUCAGGCCAGGAGGAGUGUCAUCAGGUGUGCAAACUAUAUAAAGCACUGUAUGGAUUGAAACAGACUCCUAGGUAGUGGAAUCUAAAGUUAACUGAAGCAUUAGUGGAUAUAGGAUUUGUUCAAAUCCACUAUGAUUAUUCUCUCUUUACACAGAAGGUGGACUCAAAGCUAUUAGUCAUUCUAGUCUAUAUGGAUGACCUCCUAGUAAUUGGAAGUAGUCUAGACUUGAUCAAACAAGUUAGAAAAGAUCUUCAAGAGAGAUUCAAGAUGAAAGACCUUGGUGAAAUUAAAUACUUCAUAGGCAUUGAGUUCUCCGGAUCUCAGGAGGCAUAGUUAUGUGCCAAGAAAAAUAUGCUCUAGAACUAGUGUCUGAGCUAGGUCUAGCAGGUGAAAAAUCAACCGCUACACCUUUAAAAUUCAACCAUAAGCUCCCAUCCAUUGAAUUUGAGAAACAAAUACCAAAUGAUAAUACUACAGUUGAUAAGGAGCUUGAAGACAAGGAGGCUACCAGAGGCUAGUUCGAAGAUUAUUAUACUUAACCAUGAUAAGGCGUGACAUUGCCUUUGAGGCUCAUGUACUCAGUCAGUAUAUGCAUGCACCACUGAAAGAAAUCUGUCUUUUAGUGGCAAUAUUUAGUGGCGACUUUAUUUAAUGCUACAAUUAUCAAAUUUAUUGUGGCGGCUCUAAAAGUCGCUACGAAAGAUAAAUUUUUAGUAGCGACUUUCUUAGGUCGCUUCUAAUAUGUGCCAAUAAAUCCUGAAUUUUUAGUUUCCGCUAUUAACAAAAAUUUGGCUCCAAUGUUUUAGGAGCGACUUAAAAAAUAUCGCCCCUGUAGGUCUUUUGAAGUGACUAGGUCGCUACUAUAAUUUAAAAUAAAUCACUUAAAAUAACUUAAAUAAAAAGAAGCAAAGAAAGAAAAUAAAAGACUAGUUUACAGAGAAGAAACAUACGUACUUCUGCAGCUUCAUCCUCUCACUAUGUCUCAACAAAAGUGGUUUUCUCCCACUCUUAUUAAAAACUAUCCAUCCGAUUCCCUCAAAUCUCUUGAAUCUAUCCUUAAAUCGCAAAUGUAAAAUGAUACCCAAAGCCCUAAUAAGAAAUUAUAUUCUCUAAUUAGGUAUGUGUUUGAAUCCUAAAUUCUUUUGGGUGGUACAUGCAACUAGCGAGAAUGAUUAUUUCUUCAAUUUCACCUUUAAUUUCUCUGACCCAUUUGAAAAUAUACAGGAAUCAGAAGUAAUUUUUCUUGAAUAGCCAUCGCCUAAAGCCCUUUCUCAGUGUCGACUGCUCUUUCGCUGGGUAAGUUAAAAACUUCUUUCUGAAAUUUUAGACCUUUUGAUGAUUGCAUGUUUAGUAUUCCACUCAAAAUCGUGAAAUGUGAUGUUAGGUAUUAUGGGUCUUCAUUUUUCUUGAUAUUUUUCUAUGGAACCCGAAAUUUUCGUAAAUAUUUGCCCAAUAAUAUUUUGUGUAGUACGAGUGAAGGUUAUUUGAGAUUGUGUUAUAGUAAUCAACAAGAGUCUUCAGUCCGUUCAUUGCAAUUAAAUUUAUUUUUUGUUUUGUUCUUUUUGUUUUUGUUUUUGGGGUUUGUACUAUCAUAUUAAAUUUUUUACUUCUAGGACGAUAAAGUAAAGUUACAACUAAAAUUAACAAAGCUGAAGGAUAGAGCAUGGGUAGUCUUUGGACUUAUUCUUUUUUCCUUUGGCUGUUGUUUUGAGGAAAACACAUAUGAUGAAAGCAUGAACUAUAUCGACUUUCGCAAUGGUGCCAACUCGAUAUUUGUAAUCUUGAAGCCCUAAGUUACAAAAGUCAGGUAGUAAGAUACUUUUGCUAAACAUAUUUUUAUGGUCCAGACUUUCAGGUGAUUUUAAAUUUCUGCUCACAGUAAACUAUAACGUCUCCUCCCAUUUUUUUCUUUUCUUUAAGGUUAGAGAUUAGAGGGAAGUAUUCUUUUAGAUGUGGUUGACUCUCUCUUAGUCGUGUGAUAUUUGAGAAAUUUAUUCGUGCUUGUAAGUUAUAAGAAUUUGCUCACUGAUUGUUAAAAAGAUAAACAAUAUAAAAAGGAAUAGAAAUUACAUAACUAGUCUGCGCAUUAUUUGAAUGGAUGAGAAUUUGUAUUAGCAUCUGGGAGAAUACCCUUUAUGUACUGAGCACUAUCUUAGUGCUUGGUAUUUUGUAAUUUAUAAUACUUUAGUUUCUCAUUUUAAAAGUAUGUGGUACAGAAAUUGUCUAAUUUCAUUAAUAUAUGUCUACAUUGAUUAGAUUCUAUGGAAUUGAGAUAUUUUAUGAAAAAGUGGCCAUGUUGGACGGUAAACAUAUCCCUCUUUGACUAGUAUAGUAUUAUUAUAUUUUCGUUUGAUGCACUAUUUCUAUUGAGAUCUUACUCUUAAUAGGAAAAAGUUGUUGCUGCAAUGCUAAUUUUUUAUGGGUGAUUUGAUUUGUUCAUAUUUUUCACUUAUGUUCUUGUUGAUAUGCUGGUUGUUGUUGCACUUCACUUUUUGUUAAUUAAUUGAUUGCCUUUUAUCCUAAAAAACAGGAAUAGAUAAAAAUUGGUUGAAUCUUAGGAAUAGAGGAGACCAAAGAUACAAAGAUGGAGUAGAUGGUUUUCUUAGUUGGGCAUUCAACCAACCAAGGGUGAGCACUAUGAUUCGAUGUCCUUUUAAAGGGUGUAUGAACACUGUGUUCAAGCUAAGAACCGAUGUAAGAGAAGACUUAUUGAGGAAAGGUUUCUGAAAUUCUUAUAAAGUGUGGGACUUGUGUGGAGAAGUUUUAGUUAGAGGUGAAAAUUCUAAUGUAGCACGCAAUGAUGAAGGAGGAGAUAAUAGUAUUGAAGAGGAUAAUAUUGCAGAAAUGAUUCACGAUGCUUGUGGAUACACUAAUGUGGCGGAUGAUAAUAAUUUUUCAGAGGAUAAUGAAGAGUCAAAUAUACAUGCAACAAAGUUCUACAAAUUAUUAGAAGAUGCACUGAUGAUUAAUUAGAGUUGCCACUGAUGAUUAAUUGAUUUGGUGGAACUCUUUCUUGUGGGGAGUACAUUUAGUUUUUGUAGCGACAACAUCGUCACAAAAUGUAUACAUUCUGUGGUGACCUUAUGUUGUAGCCACUAGUAACAUUCAGUAACGGAAGUACUUGCAGCAAUUCCAUAGUCGCUACUGUAAAUAUUCAGUGGCAACAAUCUAUAAUUUUGUGGCGACUUUGGUCGCCACUAAAAGAUAGAUUUCUUGUAGUGCACCUAAGAUGUCUCACAUGGAGGCUGCCUUAAGAGUAGUAAGAUAUAUCAAGAUUUCUCCUGGACUUGGAUUGUUCAUGCGUGCAAAGGCAUGCAAGUACUUGUUUGCAUAUUGUGAUUCUGAUUGGGAGAUUGUGUGGAGAUCGGGAGAUCAGUGAUAGGCUAUGCAGUGAAAUUUGGUGAAGUACUGAUAUCAUGGAAGUCCAAAAAGCAGGGAACUGUGUCCAGGAGUUCUACUGAAGCUGAAUUUCGAAGUAUGGCUGCUACUGUAGAAGAGGUUGUGUGGAUAACUGGACUCUUAAAGGAGCUGGGAGCUGAAGCUGCUAUACAAAGUGCAACUCAUCCUAUUUUCCAUGAGGGAAACCAAAUACAUUGACAUUAAUUGCCACUUUGUGAGAGAAAAGAUUGUAUAAGGCUUGAUUCGAACACAACACAUCAGGAGAAUUGAGCAGCUGGUAGAUCUGUUAACUAAGGGUCUUUGCAAGCCACAACAUGAAUACCUAUUAGCCAAGCUAGGGAUGAAAUAUAUAUUUUAUCCCUCGGUUUGAGGUGAGUGUUGAGUAUAGUGGGUCCCGAAUAUUUAUUAGUUAAGAAUAAUUAAUUAUAACUACUAAGAGUUAGUUGUACAAAUAUAAAUAGAUUAGUUGACUAACAUUUUGUACUACUGUUCAUUCUCUUCCUUGAAGGCUAAUAAUAGAAGUAGUUUCUCUUAGCUUUCAUCUCAUUCUCGCACCUUUUAAAACAUUCAGUUCUGCCAUAGUUAAAGCUUCUCAACAAGCUUUCCUUUCCCUUUACCUAAUUUUCCUCUAUGUGGGGGCUGGUUUGAAAUUUAGCACCCUACUAUGAAUUUCGUGUUGUUGUCUUAUCAGAAGAUGUAGUAAUAAUUUCUUUGAUAACAGCUAAGAUUUGGGUGGGUAUCAAUUAAAUUCCUCCCCACCCCCCCACCCCAAAAAAAAAGAUACCUGCCUCUGGGGUUAGCAAAUAGCAAUACCUAACAAUCUUCAAGUGUCGUGGCUAAAAUUUCCUAUGUGUAGAGAAAAGAAGGCAUAAAUUUAUAGGUGCACAUAGGAUGUGAAGAAAUGAAGGCUACAAACAACCCACGAAUAACGGACAUAGUUUUGAUGCUGUUAUUCUUUAAAAGAGCAAAAGGAAAAGAAAAAAUUAUAAUUCAUAAAGAUGCUUCUUGGAAAUGUUAUGAUUAUUAGAGAGUUUAACUACUGAUAUUGAUGUGACAUUGAUGUAAAGCUUAAAAAAAUAAAAUUAUAACACUAAAGGGCAGCCCGAUCUAGAGAAGGGCCGCACCCAUGGAUAUAAUAUAGAGAACUUACAUUAAUACAAGCAUCAGUAACUGCUACCACGGCUCAAACCCGUGACCAAUAAAAUUAUAACAUAUGUAUAUUAAAUCAUCCAAAAAAUAUCAACAUGUAAUCCAGAUAUUAACUUGCAAAAUUAAACUUGAACUUAGAUUAUAAAAUGUAAUUAACACCAAAUCAAAUUGCUACGGGACCAUUACUUGUGUUGUAACUUUUUAAAUUUGGCUUUUUAUUCAAUGUUUGAUAUUUGUAUUAUGGCCCGACUAAAUCCAGAUUCGAGCCAGAAAAUUCUCCGAUGCUUCCUAAUAAAGACGACUUUAUGCCUAGACUUAAACCUAGCACCUCAGAUUAAGAAUAAAUGAAUACUUACUAUUUAACUACAAAUUUUGUCGGUGCUAAUUGUGUUGUACCUUCUUGACUUGUGACAACCGAAUAGUUCCUUUAUGCUAUGAAUCUGGAAAGACUAUUUGUCCCACCAAUAUUCUAAAAUCACUACCCAAGAAAAAUGCCGUUUUAGUCGGAAAGCUAAUGUUACCUCAAUCCCUUUUCUUUAUUCUAUUCUUGUGUCACCAUCAUAUACAAUUAUUGUAAAAUUGAAGCUCCAAGAUCAUCCCUAUUAGCCCCCGACGAUUUUAAAAUCUAGUUAUUUUAGCCUGAAUUAGAUUUAUAAUUUAACUAGUGAUUUUGUUCGCGCUUCGCGCGAUUAUAAAAAUAUUUUAUCUUACAAGUAUAAAAACUAUAGAUAUACCGGAACAAAAAAUACAGAAGACUUUGUUAUCGUAAAUAAGUAAAAUGAAAGGAAUUAGACAUCUAAAGCAUUUAAUUUGCUUCUACUAAAGGAAUUAGAAUGCAGUUUAUUUGAAUUUUACCUAAUUAAGAUGAUUUAAGGAGUAUUGCUCGAUGAAAAGGCAAAAUUAAAACCAAAAUUACGUAAAUUUCAUCUUACAACUGCCAAUUACUAUACAAGUAAGAUAAAAAUAAUAUUAUUGGUUGUACACUUAUAAUUUUAUAUAAAUGAAUUUAAACUUUUCAUUGCCAAUAUAAUAGUCCCACAAGUGAGAAGCUUUUCUAGUUCCACAAUAUUCCUCACAUCCAAAUAUAGAUGUCAUCUAAUAAUUCUAUUCUUGUUAUAUGUCGAGCCCAAUUUUCAACCAAUUCCAAUCUAUGAUCAUUCAUCACAAAUUAAGUCUACCAAAACCCAUUAAAAUAAAUUGUGUACAAAUAGAGAAUUGCAAAUCACUUCUAACAAAUCAAACUUCUUCUGAAUACAAUAAGAUAGUAAAACUAGAACACAAUGAACUAUAUAAAAUAUUUAGUUUAUGUAAGGGUGUCUUUCUCUAUAGAAAUCAAAGCAUUUCAGCAUAUUUAUAACAUGAUUUUAUGUUUGAAGCUCUCCCUAUAUUUGAGUAAUUAUUGGUGCUAAUAUUCAACUCAGUUUUUUUUGUCAUCAAAACUAUAUAGUAUAAUAUAUAAACCCGUAAUCAAACUACCCUUUUAAAAUGCCGAGGUCACUACAUAUAAAUUAAGUAUGAGUUUAUCCGGACUAAAGAUUAUUUGAACAAAUUUCACUCUUUUUCAUUGGGAUUAAAUCUCAAACCCAUAAAAAAGACAAAACAACAGUUUGAAUUUUCCCUCAAGAACAAUUAAUAGUAUUGACAUAAAUUUUCAAGAACCAAAACCAAACCUUCUAGUAUAUCUAUAUAUGUAUCUAUAUCUAUAUAUAUAUAAUAAAGUUGGGAAAAUAAUAGAUGACGUGGCAUGUGUUUUUGGCCAAGAAACUCAAUUAUCUUUUUUCUCCUUUUUUUGACCUUUCCCUUCAUUUCUUCAUUUAUCUAAUUAUUAAUUUUCGAAAAGUCUUCAAAUGCAAUUAAUCCACUUUUCACCUAAUUAGUUUUAAAAAUAACUGAAAAUAAUAACUCUGCAUCAGCUACAAUUUGACUAUAAUCAUUAUGACUAUUAUGUACUAAUAAAGGUUUAUUAAUCUAGACAAAAGAAAUAAAGUCUUAUUAAUUCUAGAAUUAGUAACCGAAAUCACACGAUAGGUUGUAAAAUCCGAAUUAUAAAGAAAGUAGAUAUCUUGCAUGUGGUAAAUUCUAGAGAGAAAUAUAUUUCAUUUGGUGAAGAUAUGUCAGUGAGGUGUAGGGUUAGAAGCAACUUCAACACACAACGUCCAAAGCAUAGAAGCAAUCAGAAUUCAAGGAAUAAAGAUCAAAGCUAUACCGAAGGAAGAGAGAAAAAACAGACUUUCAAGAUAAGAUAAAUGAAAAAUUAUAAAAAAAAUUAUUAUUCUCACCGUAAACCACAAAGCUCCAAGUACUUUGCUCCAUCGUACAAGUAGAGUUUUUAAAGGUUUCCACUAAAUAAUGUAACAUUAUAUUGCAAGUUGCUUCUACUUGGAGUUCCAAAUUCCAAUAUGGUUGGGAUGUGAUUGUAGCAACGCUCAUGGGUGUAAA